RNAcentral lists this ribosomal RNA (486 nucleotides) under uncultured bacterium. RNAcentral describes it as "partial 16S ribosomal RNA". It matches the Rfam family "Bacterial small subunit ribosomal RNA", at positions 28 to 507 of the family's 1533-position model. The record is from RNAcentral.
GAUGAACGCUGGCGGCGUGCCUAAUACAUGCAAGUCGAACGCUGGAACUCUAGCUUGCUAGAUUGAAGGAGUGGCGAACGGGUGAGUAAUACAUAAGCAACCUACCCACGAAGACUGGGAUAAUCUCUGGAAACGGGGACUAAUACCGGAUAGGUAAUCGGAAGGCAUCUUCUGAUUAUUAAAGGUUAAAAACACUGGUGGAUGGGCUUAUGGCGCAUUAGUUAGUUGGUGAGGUAACGGCCCACCAAGACGAUGAUGCGUAGCCGGCCUGGGAGGGUGAACGGCCACAUUGGGACUGGGACACGGCCGAGAGUGAUACGGGAGGCAGCAGUAGGGAAUUUUCGGGAGUGGAAGAAAGCCUGACCGAGCAACGCCGCGUGAGUGAUGACGGCCUUCGGGUUGUAAAGCUCUGUUGUAAGGGAAGAACGGUAGAUAGAGAAUAUCUAAAUGACGGUACCUUACCAGAAAGCCACGGCUAACUACGUG